This 34-nucleotide ribosomal RNA is filed under the name Aspergillus niger. Its description in RNAcentral is "partial small subunit ribosomal RNA". Lineage: Eukaryota; Fungi; Ascomycota; Eurotiomycetes; Eurotiales; Aspergillaceae. The record is from RNAcentral.
AGCUUUCGUAGGUGAACCUGCGGAAGGAUCAUUA